This 247-nucleotide ribosomal RNA is filed under the name uncultured bacterium. RNAcentral's name for it is "partial 16S ribosomal RNA". It matches the Rfam family "Bacterial small subunit ribosomal RNA", at positions 523 to 769 of the family's 1533-position model. The record is from RNAcentral.
AUACGGAGGAUCCGAGCGUUAUCCGGAUUUAUUGGGUUUAAAGGGAGCGUAGGCGGGAUAUCAAGUCAGCUGUGAAAUGUAGAUGCUCAACAUCUGCACUGCAGUUGAAACUGGUGUUCUUGAGUGCGUAAGAGGUAGGCGGAAUUCGUCGUGUAGCGGUGAAAUGCAUAGAUAUGACGAAGAACUCCGAUUGCGAAGGCAGCUUACUAAGCUACAACUGACACUGAAGCACGAAAGCGUGGGGAUC